Molecule: ribosomal RNA, 207 nt
Filed under: uncultured bacterium
Lineage: Bacteria
Description: partial 16S ribosomal RNA
Rfam family: Bacterial small subunit ribosomal RNA
Source: RNAcentral
UGCGCAGGCGGCCUGAUAAGUCAGAGGUGAAAUAUGCCGGCUCAACCGGCAAACGGCCCCUGAAACUGCCAGGCUUGAGUCCGGGAGAGGUAGGUGGAAUUCCAGGUGUAGCGGUGAAAUGCGUAAAUAUCUGGAGGAACACCGGUGGCGAAGGCGGCCUACUGGCCCGGAACUGACGCUCAGGCACGAAAGCUAGGGGAGCGAACG